GUGCCAGCCGCCGCGGUAAUACCGGCAGCCCGAGUGAUGGCCGAUCUUAUUGGGCCUAAAGCGUCCGUAGCUGGCUGCGCAAGUCCGUCGGGAAAUCCACUCGCCCAACGAGUGGGCGUCCGACGGAAACUGCACAGCUUGGGACCGGAAGGCGCGACGGGUACGUCCGGGGUAGGAGUGAAAUCCUGUAAUCCUGGACGGACCACCGGUGGCGAAAGCGCCUUCGGAAGACGGAUCCGACAGUGAGGGACGAAAGCCAGGGUCUCCAACCGGAUUAGAUACCCUUGUAGUCC
Molecule: ribosomal RNA, 293 nt
Filed under: uncultured bacterium
Lineage: Bacteria
Description: partial 16S ribosomal RNA
Rfam family: Archaeal small subunit ribosomal RNA
Source: RNAcentral